UGCAGCAAUGAUCUUGAAAACUACUGCUCCAAGCAAAUACUCACCUACGGUGCCCCUUAUCUGGAUGGGACCAUCACUCGUGGAGGCUACUCCAACAUCAUGGUUGCAGACGAGCAUUUCAUCAUCCGUUGGCCUGAGAACUUUCCCCUUGAUGCCGGGGCUCCUCUCCUGUGUGCCGGCAUCACAACUUACAGCCCGCUAAGGUACUUUGGACUAGACAAGCCCGGGCUAAGUGUUGGUGUCAAUGGUCUUGGUGGCCUAGGUCACGUUGCUGUGAAAUUCGCCAAAGCUUUUGGGACGAAGGUGACAGUUAUCAGCACGUCUC
This 325-nucleotide long non-coding RNA is filed under the name Salvia miltiorrhiza (redroot sage). RNAcentral describes it as "long non-coding RNA (SMIL_LNC007865)". Lineage: Eukaryota; Viridiplantae; Streptophyta; Magnoliopsida; Lamiales; Lamiaceae. The record is from RNAcentral.